This is a small nucleolar RNA of Candida albicans SC5314, 73 nucleotides long. Lineage: Eukaryota; Fungi; Ascomycota; Pichiomycetes; Serinales; Debaryomycetaceae. The record is from RefSeq and is a predicted model, not a curated record.
GUGUAUUAUUGUAGGGCAACUAUCCUUAAAUUCAUAUCUACGAUUGUUGCUCUCUACAACGCAUACCAGAGUA